GUGUUCACUUCAGCAACACAUAUACUAAAAUUGGAAUGCUACAGAGAAGAUUAGCAUGGCCUCUGUGCAAGGAUGACACACAAAUUCAUGAAGCGUUCCAUAUUUUU
This 107-nucleotide small nuclear RNA is filed under the name Saimiri boliviensis boliviensis (Bolivian squirrel monkey). The record is from RNAcentral. Lineage: Eukaryota; Metazoa; Chordata; Mammalia; Primates; Cebidae.